CAUUCAGACCCCCUAUCCUUUGAGUGGUAAUUGAUGGACUGCUAAGCUCUCCGUUUUCUCUGUCUCAUUGCAGGCAACUGAGGCAAAAGCAAAACAAGAACCCCCCAAAGAGAAAGAAGAUAAAUUUCAGCCUUUCACCGGGAAGAAGUAUUCUUUAAGAGGUUGAUUAAUAUAUUAACUUAAAACACUUUUAAACUUUUAUUAUAAGUUACUUUGUUGGCCUGUGCAUGGAUCCAAGUCUAUUGCAAAACCUGUAUCUUUUUUGCUUUUUGUAUUAUAAGCAAAAGACAGACCAAACCAGUAGACGCCACAAAAAAUAACUAGAUGUUUACCUUAAAUUAUUAUUACUUGUCAAUGACUACAUAUUCUUCUCUGGCGCUAAAGGAGGUGACACUUUAUUUUAAUGGCCCAUAUGNNNNNNNNNNNNNNNNNNNNNNNNNNNNNNNNNAUAAUGGAAUAAAGAGAAGAGCAACUAGCCACUGUUAGAGGGACAAGCACCCCCACAUGAGCAAAUUAUAGGAUGGUCUAAAUUUUUAUGUUAUGUCGGUGUGUAUAAAGAAAGACUCAACUUUCUUCCAUGGUAACCAAGUUAAAAAUGGCGACACAUAAAUGUGGUGAAAACUAUAGUUUUAGACGUGUGUGAUGAAAAUUCGUAGCUUUUGUUUCCUUCAACAUCAAACCCGAAAAUUCUCCUGGU
This 697-nucleotide long non-coding RNA is filed under the name Trifolium pratense (red clover). RNAcentral's name for it is "long non-coding RNA (TPRA_LNC013397)". The record is from RNAcentral. Lineage: Eukaryota; Viridiplantae; Streptophyta; Magnoliopsida; Fabales; Fabaceae.